Nerophis lumbriciformis (worm pipefish) is the source of this 435-nucleotide long non-coding RNA. RefSeq lists it as uncharacterized. The record is from RefSeq and is a predicted model, not a curated record. NCBI's taxonomy places the organism in Eukaryota, Metazoa, Chordata, Actinopteri, Syngnathiformes, Syngnathidae.
CGCUGAGGGAAAACGAAUGGCUGUCUUGUUCAUUAGGACACGUGCUGAAUGAAGGCAACAUCGUCAUCAUGCCAAUUGUGCACACUGCCAGCGGCCAGGAAGCACCAACAUCCACUAUUAGGGCGAUCCAGGACUUCAAAGAUGACCUUCCCCCUGCCUAGACAGGACAGCCAUCGGGACGGCAAGUACGCCACCUCCAGGCGACCGUUUUGAUGAGGGGGAGAAGCGGCAGCAGCAGAAGAUGCUACAGAGGUGAGCCGCUGAGGGUAUUAGUGCUCUUUAGCUGUGCUUUUAUUAUGCUAAUGUGCUGUGAGGCUUCCUCAAAGCGGGCUGAUACUGUACACACCAUGACUUCUACAGCUGCAGGCGUACCUAAAGAAGUGGCCUCUGUCACUUUGAAUAGUCAAUAUGCAGGAACACCCUUUGCAAUGUGUC